RNAcentral lists this long non-coding RNA (405 nucleotides) under Pan troglodytes (chimpanzee). Its description in RNAcentral is "long non-coding RNA NONPTRT001836". The record is from RNAcentral. Lineage: Eukaryota; Metazoa; Chordata; Mammalia; Primates; Hominidae.
UAUCCCCUACAAAUUUCUCCUAUUUUACCCUCUUCCUAACUAUAUCUGUAAUUUAAAGUUUCACAUAUUCUUUUGAAAAUUGUUUUCAUUGUUUACUCACUUUUUAAGAAAAGCAAAUGGGAACAUACUACCACUGUUUGGCCCCUUUCAAAAAUUUUAUAUCUGAGGAAUCUUCCAUAUUGUUGUGGACAUCUACCUACCUGAUUCUUUUAUUAACUACCUUUUAUUUCAUUUUAUGAUCAUGCUAUCAUUAAUAGGCCCCUAUGAUGAAUAUAUAAGUUGUUUCCAGUUUUUUUUUUUUGUCAUUGAGAACAGUUCACAUAUGUAUCUUGUUGUCUUUUCCAAGUAUAUCUUUAAGGCAAAUUCUUAGCAGUGGAGUUGCUAGGUCCAUUGCGUCUAUGGUUU